UGCAGUCGAGCGGUAGCACAGAGGAGCUUGCUCCUUGGGUGACGAGCGGCGGACGGGUGAGUAAAGUCUGGGGAUCUGCCUGAUGGAGGGGGAUAACUACUGGAAACGGUAGCUAAUACCGCAUGACGUCUUCGGACCAAAGUGGGGGACCUUCGGGCCUCACGCCAUGAGAUGAACCCAGAUGGGAUUAGCUGGUAGGUGAGGUAACGGCUCACCUAGGCGACGAUCCCUAGCUGGUCUGAGAGGAUGACCAGCCACACUGGAACUGAGACACGGUCCAGACUCCUACGGGAGGCAGCAGUGGGGAAUAUUGCACAAUGGGGGAAACCCUGAUGCAGCCAUGCCGCGUGUGUGAAGAAGGCCUUCGGGUUGUAAAGCACUUUCAGCGGGGAGGAAGGCAAUAAACUUAAUAAGUUUGUUGAUUGACGUUACCCGCAGAAGAAGCACCGGCUAACUCCGUGCCAGCAGCCGCGGUAAUACGGAGGGUGCAAGCGUUAAUCGGAAUGACUGGGCGUAAAGCGCACGCAGGCGGUCUGUUAAGUUGGAUGUGAAAUCCCCGGGCUCAACCCGGGAACAGCAUUCAAAACUGACAGGCUAGAGUCUCGUAGAGGGGGGUAGAAUUCCAGGUGUAGCGGUGAAAUGCGUAGAGAUCUGGAGGAAUACCGGUGGCGAAGGCGGCCCCCUGGACGAAGACUGACGCUCAGGUGCGAAAGCGUGGGGAGCAAACAGGAUUAGAUACCCUGGUAGUCCACGCCGUAAACGAUGUCGACUUGGAGGCUGUGGUCUUGAACCGUGGCUUCCGGAGCUAACGCGUUAAGUCGACCGCCUGGGGAGUACGGCCGCAAGGUUAAAACUCAAAUGAAUUGACGGGGGCCCGCACAAGCGGUGGAGCAUGUGGUUUAAUUCGAUGCAACGCGAAGAACCUUACCUACUCUUGACAUCCAGAGAAGACUGUAGAGAUACGGUUGUGCCUUCGGGAGCUCUGAGACAGGUGCUGCAUGGCUGUCGUCAGCUCGUGUUGUGAAAUGUUGGGUUAAGUCCCGCAACGAGCGCAACCCUUAUCCUUUGUUGCCAGCGAUUCGGUCGGGAACUCAAAGGAGACUGCCGGUGAUAAACCGGAGGAAGGUGGGGAUGACGUCAAGUCAUCAUGGCCCUUACGAGUAGGGCUACACACGUGCUACAAUGGCGCAUACAAAGAGAAGCGAGCCUGCGAGGGUAAGCGGACCUCAUAAAGUGCGUCGUAGUCCGGAUUGGAGUCUGCAACUCGACUCCAUGAAGUCGGAAUCGCUAGUAAUCGUAGAUCAGAAUGCUACGGUGAAUACGUUCCCGGGCCUUGUACACACCGCCCGUCACACCAUGGGAGUGGGUUGCAAAAGAAGUAGGUAGC
RNAcentral lists this ribosomal RNA (1387 nucleotides) under Brenneria salicis. Its description in RNAcentral is "bacterial SSU rRNA". It matches the Rfam family "Bacterial small subunit ribosomal RNA", at positions 56 to 1434 of the family's 1533-position model. Lineage: Bacteria; Pseudomonadati; Pseudomonadota; Gammaproteobacteria; Enterobacterales; Pectobacteriaceae. The record is from RNAcentral.